This 64-nucleotide transfer RNA is filed under the name Elaptus prionoides. RNAcentral's name for it is "tRNA-His". It matches the Rfam family "tRNA". From Rfam's summary of the family: Transfer RNA (tRNA) molecules are approximately 80 nucleotides in length. Their secondary structure includes four short double-helical elements and three loops (D, anti-codon, and T loops). Further hydrogen bonds mediate the characteristic L-shaped molecular structure. tRNAs have two regions of fundamental functional importance: the anti-codon, which is responsible for specific mRNA codon recognition, and the 3' end, to which the tRNAs corresponding amino acid is attached (by aminoacyl-tRNA synthetases). tRNAs cope with the degeneracy of the genetic code in two manners: having more than one tRNA (with a specific anti-codon) for a particular amino acid; and 'wobble' base-pairing, i.e. permitting non-standard base-pairing at the 3rd anti-codon position. Lineage: Eukaryota; Metazoa; Arthropoda; Insecta; Coleoptera; Cerambycidae. The record is from RNAcentral.
AUCCAAAUAGUUUAAUUAAAAUGCAGGCUUGUGGAGCUUGAGAUAUAAGAUUUUAUUUUGGGUA